Molecule: ribosomal RNA, 274 nt
Filed under: uncultured bacterium
Lineage: Bacteria
Description: partial 16S ribosomal RNA
Rfam family: Bacterial small subunit ribosomal RNA
Source: RNAcentral
AUACGGAGGGCGCGAGCGUUACUCGGAGUCACUGGGCGUAAAGCGUCCGUAGGCGGUCGGGUAAGUCGGGUGUGAAAGCCCCGGGCUCAACCUGGGAAGUGCACCCGAUACUGCGCGACUAGAGUGCGGGAGAGGAUGGCGGAAUUCCCGGUGUAGCGGUGAAAUGCGUAGAGAUCGGGAGGAACACCAGUGGCGAAGGCGGCCAUCUGGCCCGCAACUGACGCUGAGGGACGAAAGCGUGGGGAGCAAACAGGAUUAGAUACCCUAGUAGUCC